GGGUCAGUAGGUUGGUCGUGCCACCGGUACGUACUGGUCUCACUGAUUCCUCCUUCCCGAAGAACCGUAAUGCCAUUAAUUUGGUGUUGCGGGGAAACAGGACUGUUACUUUGAAAAAAUUAGAGUGUUUAAAGCAAGCUAACGCUUGAAUGCAUUAGCAUGGAAUAAUGAAAUAGGACGAUCGAUCCUAUUUUGUUGGUUUCUAGGAUUGACGUA
This 216-nucleotide ribosomal RNA is filed under the name Glomeromycotina sp. Its description in RNAcentral is "partial small subunit ribosomal RNA". The stretch from base 75 to 216 matches the Rfam family "Eukaryotic small subunit ribosomal RNA", at positions 721 to 864 of the family's 1831-position model. The record is from RNAcentral. Lineage: Eukaryota; Fungi; Glomeromycota.